RNAcentral lists this transfer RNA (55 nucleotides) under Candidatus Roizmanbacteria bacterium CG22_combo_CG10-13_8_21_14_all_33_16. Its description in RNAcentral is "tRNA-Lys". It matches the Rfam family "tRNA", at positions 8 to 61 of the family's 71-position model. Rfam says of the family: Transfer RNA (tRNA) molecules are approximately 80 nucleotides in length. Their secondary structure includes four short double-helical elements and three loops (D, anti-codon, and T loops). The record is from RNAcentral. Lineage: Bacteria; Candidatus Roizmaniibacteriota.
UAGCUCAGUGGUAGAGCAGUUGCCUCUUAAGCAAUUGGUCGAGGGUUCGAAUCCC